GAUGCCAGGGUCAUAAGCCUCAAACCACGAUGUGCUUGCACAAGAGUGGUUUUGAGGCUUAAUGACCCGCCCCUAUAUGAGCAUAAAAGUGGAGCGUUAGCUUCACGAUAUGCGAAUAUUGGGGCGGAUUGUGAGAGUGCGUAGCACGGAACAAUCCGUAAGG
This 163-nucleotide small RNA is filed under the name bovine gut metagenome. RNAcentral describes it as "Clostridiales-1 RNA". It matches the Rfam family "Clostridiales-1 RNA". The record is from RNAcentral.